This 1363-nucleotide unclassified non-coding RNA is filed under the name Hevea brasiliensis (rubber tree). Lineage: Eukaryota; Viridiplantae; Streptophyta; Magnoliopsida; Malpighiales; Euphorbiaceae. The record is from RNAcentral.
UCAUCAUCAUCAUCAUCAUCAUCGGUUGUUUUUCAGAACUUGUUGCGGGAAGCUUGCAUCAAUGAUGAAGAAUUGUUCUCAGCCUUUCUGAAUCGCCUAUUUAAUACUCUUAGCUGGACAAUGACAGAGUUCUCUGUUUCUAUUCGGGAAAUGCAAGAAAAAUACCAGGUAUUGGAGUUUCAGCAAAGAAAAUGUUGUGUAAUAUUUGAUCUCUCAUGCAACCUUACAAGGCUUUUGGAGUUCUAUACCCGUGAGAUUCCUCAAGCGUUUCUAUCAGGAACUGAUACAAACCUCCGGAGGUUAACUGAAUUAAUUGUCUUCAUUCUUAACCGCAUAACUUCAGCUGCAGAUGCUGAGUUUUUUGACUUGUCACUUAGACGACAUGGUCAAUCGUUGGAAAAAGUAAAUCGAGGCAUGAUAUUAGCACCUCUUGUAGGGAUCAUUUUGAAUUUGUUGGAUGCAAGGGUGGCGACAGAAUGUGGAGGGCAAAAUGAUGUUGUGGAUGUUUUUGCUAGCAUGGACUGCCCCAGUACCAUGCAUUGUGGUUUCCAGUAUCUUUUGGAGUAUAACUGGGCUGGUUCCCUCAGAGGGGAUGCUAAUCUAGGAAAACUUGGGCAGCUAGAGAACUUCUUGAGCCUCCUUAUCAGCCGAAUCAAGGUGCAACAAAUUGAAAGGAUGGGAUGUGGAGGAGAAACAGAUGCUGAUGAUGGCAUCUGCUGCAUUUGUUAUACUUGCGACGCAGAUGCACAGUUUGCCCCUUGUUCCCAUAAGUCUUGCUAUGGCUGCAUAACAAGACAUCUUUUGAAUUGCCAUAGAUGUUUCUUUUGCAAUGCAACAGUGUUGGAGGUUUCUAAGAUUGGUGAAAAGAGAAUGUAAGAUCUAUGGUCUUGUAUUUUCUUGUUGCCUGGAAAGUCUCGCUGGCAUGGCAUGGUAUGUUGGCUGGUCAUUGAUUUGUCAGGGCUUUUGAAUACCAAUUUUCUGGUAUCCUGGACCGUCAUGGCAGCCGACAUAUUGUCUUCUCAGCGCUUGCGCGGCCUAGGUUUGUAAACCACUGGCACAGAAGCUGAAAAAGGAAGAAAAUUGGGUGAUAAUAUGAAAUUAUGAAUAUAUACGUAACUGCUUGUACCUAGGCAUUCACUUCUCAAGGUGAAAAAGUGGGUGGGAGUUGGGAAGAAAAUUCUCAUAGGUUGAUUAAGAAUUUUGUUGGGAAAUCGAGGGCAUUAUUCUGUAAAUAUGAGUUGUAAAUGGCAAUGAAAAUAUGUUGGUCUCUGUCUGUGUCUCUCAUUUGUUUAUUUUAUUUUUCUCAUUAUUCUUUAAUUUUAAGCAUAAGCACAAUGCUGUUCACUACAUUUCCUUAUUAAUU